Molecule: non-coding RNA, 350 nt
Organism: Paramuricea clavata
Lineage: Eukaryota; Metazoa; Cnidaria; Anthozoa; Malacalcyonacea; Plexauridae
Source: the annotation of a GenBank genome assembly
UGAAAUCUGUGUUGUUUUUAUUAAUAAAAAAAAAUUACAGGAAACCCGCCCUUAACAAUUAAUAAUCCUACCUCAGCUAUAGGCAGGCAACCAACAAUUGUUUCAUUCAAAAUUUAUUAAAUACAGUAUAUAUACUACAUUAUACAUGUUCUAACCCUCUGUACACCCGUUGUGAAACACAAUACUUGGUGCACGAGUAAGUACUAGUACGUACUAUAAAACAGCACGUAAAUAAGACUCAAAAUGAGUUCAUGGUUGUGGUCUAAUGAGUUCAUGGUUGCAGAUCAUUGGUGUGACUUAACCACUGCACAUCAUGCAUGCCUCCUUGUUUUGUAAUGAACAUGCGAUUG